Molecule: ribosomal RNA, 490 nt
Filed under: uncultured bacterium
Lineage: Bacteria
Description: partial 16S ribosomal RNA
Rfam family: Bacterial small subunit ribosomal RNA
Source: RNAcentral
AUUGAACGCUGGCGGCAGGCCUAACACAUGCAAGUCGAACGGUAACAGGAAGCAGCUUGCUGCUUCGCUGACGAGUGGCGGACGGGUGAGUAAUGUCUGGGAAACUGCCUGAUGGAGGGGGAUAACUACUGGAAACGGUAGCUAAUACCGCAUAACGUCGCAAGACCAAAGAAGGGGACCUUAGGGCCUCUUGCCAUCGGAUGUGCCCAGAUGGGAUUGGCUAGUAGGUGGGGUAACGGCUCACCUAGGCGACGAUCCCUAGCUGGUCUGAGAGGAUGACCAGCCACACUGGAACUGAGACACGGUCCAGACUCCUACGGGAGGCAGCAGUGGGGAAUAUUGCACAAUGGGCGCAAGCCUGAUGCAGCCAUGCCGCGUGUAUGAAGAAGGCCUUCGGGUUGUAAAGUACUUUCAGCGGGGAGGAAGGGAGUAAAGUUAAUACCUUUGCUCAUUGACGUUACCCGCAGAAGAAGCACCGGCUAACUCCGUG